This 220-nucleotide long non-coding RNA is filed under the name Physcomitrium patens. RNAcentral describes it as "long non-coding RNA (PPAT_LNC007529)". Lineage: Eukaryota; Viridiplantae; Streptophyta; Bryopsida; Funariales; Funariaceae. The record is from RNAcentral.
UUCCAGACAAUUCCAGUGCGGCCGUGGUAGAACUUGUGGGGCAUACCCUUGUGAACGGCUCCGUUCACCUUGAUGUCCACAUACUGGCCGACCUUGAAGGUCCGCAAGUAGGUAGUCAAGGGGAUGUAACCUUUGUGGCGGAAGGGCCUGGAGAACAAGUCCCUGGUGCGGGAUCGCAGCCCGUGUCCGGCCGGCAUCCUUGCUGCUGCUAGGUAUUCAC